Molecule: ribosomal RNA, 776 nt
Filed under: uncultured Neocallimastigales
Lineage: Eukaryota; Fungi; Neocallimastigomycota; Neocallimastigomycetes; Neocallimastigales
Description: partial large subunit ribosomal RNA
Rfam family: Eukaryotic large subunit ribosomal RNA
Source: RNAcentral
AGAGAGAGACAUGCGCGCAUAUCAAUAAGCGGAGGAAAAGAAACUAACAAGGAUUCCCUUAGUAACGGCGAGUGAAGCGGGAAGAGCUCAAAUUUGAAAUCUUCAAGGUUCUACCUUGACGAAUUGUAGUUUAUAGAAGUGUUUUCUGUUAGUGGAGUGGCAAAAGUUCCUUGGAAUAGGACAUCAUAGAGGGUGAGAAUCCCGUAUUUGGUCAUUCCUCCUAGCGUUGUGAUACACUUUCAACGAGUCGGAUUGUUUGGGAAUGCAGUCCAAAAUGGGUGGUAAAUUUCAUCCUAAAGCUAAAUAUUGGCGAGAGACCGAUAGCGAACAAGUACCGUGAGGGAAAGAUGAAAAGAACUUUGAAAAGAGAGUUAAACAGUACGUGAAAUUGUCAAAAGGGAAGCGUUUGACACCAGUGUUGUUUUUCCGAAAAUCAAUUACGAAUGUCUUAUUUUUGAGGAGUUAUGACUUCAUCGGCUUGCUCCUUUCUUUAUCGAAACUUUCUUAAUGCACUUUUCGGUUAACAAGUCAACAUCAAUUUCUUUUGUUGUAAAAGGGUAUGAGGAAGGUGGCUUUCUUUUCGGAGAAAGUGUUUAUAGCCUUGUGCCUCUGCAAUCGGAGAGAUUGAGGUCUGCAGCGUAGAUCCUUCGGGGUUAGAUACGUUUGUGCUAAGUUAUAGCUUUUCAUAGACAACUUGUUGACUAUGUUUAGUCUUGUAGCUUACUCGCUGACGCUAUUUUACCUACGCUUAGGAUGUUGAUAGUCACAGCGUGUAC